RNAcentral lists this long non-coding RNA (1190 nucleotides) under Oryctolagus cuniculus (rabbit). RNAcentral describes it as "lncRNA (ENSOCUG00000037954.1)". The record is from RNAcentral. Lineage: Eukaryota; Metazoa; Chordata; Mammalia; Lagomorpha; Leporidae.
AUGACGCGCAGCAUCCCCUUGCUAGCCGUGUGGGUAGGCUGUCUUGGCAGUGGGUUUGCCAGCCCUAGCCAAGCUGCCACAUGGAACAGAAAUGACUUGCUCUGUCGAACCUGCCCCAACUGUAGGUGCACCAAUAAGGCCGCCCCGGGCAAGACCCCUUGCAGCUGUCCUACCCCUCCCUGCAGCCACUGCACACGUCAGCGGGCCUCAAAGAAGGAAAACACAUCAGGGCUACGUAGAGAAACACGUUCCUGCUCAAAAGGACAGCAGGUCUGGCUCUGCCCUCCUCCGCCCCCUCACCCUCAGGCCCCCUCUUCCAAGCUGGCCAGCACAGAAGGGGGCUCUGCCGGGGAAGGGCAAGCCCCAACGUGCAGAUGGCUUGCAACACGGACAGCCUUGAGAUGCGGGCAGCGGGAAAUCCCGAGGAGCCCUUUCUGGGGGCUGCGGGCGCGGAGCCCGGAGGGAACGCGCGCGGGUCCUGGCGCUGCCCUGGAACGCGCUGACUCACGCGCUGGUACGUGAGCCGCGCGCCGACCGCCAUGGGCUGGGCCGGACAGCCCUGCGGCCAAUGCCGUCCUCGCGGACGCGGGUAUUUUGUUUAUUCCAGGGCCGGCGCCAAGCGUCUGGCCCCGGGCCCCAACCCGGGCGCGCCCAGGCAGGACUUUAGCCCCAACCCAGCCAAGGCUGCCUUACUAGUAGGCGAUUUUGAUGCCUUUACAGCUUAAGGGCUACAGCGGGCGUUGUGAUCUUCUAUCGGUAGUGAUCCCACCGGAGUCCCGGGGUUGUGGUGGUGGUGGGAGGGUGUCUGCCCGGGACACCGUGGCUCCUGGGGGAGCCUUCCUUGGUCACAGGAUACAGGGGUGGGGUGGGGGUAGGAGGUGGUGGGCUGUGAGAGCUGCACCGUGCGUCCCUGGAAAGCUGUGUCACUUGUUUGCUCAUUUCGGGGAAGCCUUGGAGAAGCGGUUUCUAUGGAGGCACUGUGAACGAACGGGAGGUUAAUUCAUAUGGAAAUUCUGUCCUUGGACACCUAGGUUACAGGAGCGAGAUCCUAUGCACAGAGCUAAGCCAUUUGUAGAGUUUGGCCUAUUUGGGAGAUAGUGUUGCUCUGAUUUUUUUAAGGGGGGCGGGGCUUUCCCUGAAUCCCUUGGAAACACAAUAAACCCAGAUGGGUGAGCCUUGGCUUGGGAUGC